Molecule: ribosomal RNA, 201 nt
Filed under: uncultured bacterium
Lineage: Bacteria
Description: partial 16S ribosomal RNA
Rfam family: Bacterial small subunit ribosomal RNA
Source: RNAcentral
UACGUAGGUGGCAAGCGUUGUCCGGAAUUAUUGGGCGUAAAGCGCGCGCAGGCGGUCUCCUAAGUCUGAUGUGAAAGCCCCCCGGCUCAACCGGGGAGGGUCAUUGGAAACUGGGAGACUUGAGUGCAGAAGAGAAGAGUGGAAUUCCACGUGUAGCGGUGAAAUGCGUAGAGAGUGUGGAGGAACACCAGUGGCGAAGGG